Molecule: ribosomal RNA, 459 nt
Filed under: uncultured bacterium
Lineage: Bacteria
Description: partial 16S ribosomal RNA
Rfam family: Bacterial small subunit ribosomal RNA
Source: RNAcentral
CCUACGGGAGGCAGCAGUGAGGAAUAUUGGUCAAUGGCCGCAGGGCUGAACCAGCCAAGUCGCGUGAGGGAUGACGGUCCUAUGGAUUGUAAACCUCUUUUGUCAGGGAGCAAAGGGCGCCACGUGUGGCGCUUUGCGAGUACCUGAAGAAAAAGCAUCGGCUAACUCCGUGCCAGCAGCCGCGGUAAUACGGAGGAUGCGAGCGUUAUCCGGAUUUAUUGGGUUUAAAGGGUGCGCAGGCGGAAUGUCAAGUCAGCGGUAAAAGUUCGGGGCUCAACCCCGUCGAGCCGUUGAAACUGGCGUUCUUGAGUGAGCGAGAAGUAUGCGGAAUGCGUGGUGUAGCGGUGAAAUGCAUAGAUAUUAGGAAGAACACCAGUGGCGAAGGCGGCUUACUGGACUGUAACUGACGUUGAGGCUCGAAAGCGUGGGGAGCGAACAGGAUUAGAUACCCCAGUAGUC